This 786-nucleotide long non-coding RNA is filed under the name Gossypium barbadense (sea-island cotton). Its description in RNAcentral is "long non-coding RNA (GBAR_LNC008070)". Lineage: Eukaryota; Viridiplantae; Streptophyta; Magnoliopsida; Malvales; Malvaceae. The record is from RNAcentral.
AUAGUAUAGCUAUGGUGAGCACAUAUAUCAUUCCAACAAAUACUAAAAGUACUAGUAAUUAGCGUCUUUCUAUUAUUUAACUGAAAAAUUGAAGUGAUUGAUUAAAAACUAAAAGUAACUAAUUAAAUUACCUAAAGAACACAAAAAAGAACAAAUCGGAAAAAUAAUCGAGUAAACAACCAAGAAGCGAAACAAUACCUAGGAAAGAAUCCACCUAGAUUCAUCUAUUAUUAUCAAUCUGAAUUAAACAAUUUCUUCGUUUAGUAUCUUGAUCCGUAGAAAUCCCUAAAUUAUGCUAAUAUCUCUCUUCAAGACUAAGAGCAAAUGACUCUAGGUUGAUUAAUUGAAAUUUAUUUCUAAUUAAAACAACUAUUGUUGCGUUAACUCGAUCUAUGAAUACCCCUAUUAAAUUUGACUCUAAUCCGAUAGAUUUAUGUCGUCCUAUUUCUAGGUUUGUGUGCAACUCCACUCAAAUAUGCUAAAUCUACUCUCAAAUAGGGUCUAUUCCUCCUCUGAUUCAAGCAUAUCAAACAUGGAUUAAUAGUCCGAAAAUAUUAAACCAAGAAUUAAGCACACAUAAUUGAGAACAUGAUCCAAGUAUUUAUUGCGUAAAACAUAAAUCAAAAGACAGAAUCCAUCCUAGGGUUCAUCUCCUUAGAUAUUUAGAAAAUUAAUUCAUAAUCACAAAUAAAAACAAGUAACACCCCAGAAUUCUUAGUUUUGCGUUUGUGAAAAUGUGACAUAACUCUGUAUUUGCUUCAAUAGUUAAGUGUUCUAGGUGUGUGU